GAUGAACGCUGGCGGCGUGCUUAACACAUGCAAGUCGAACGAUGAAGCCCAGCUUGCUGGGUGGAUUAGUGGCGAACGGGUGAGUAACACGUGAGUAACCUGCCCUUGACUCUGGGAUAAGCCUGGGAAACUGGGUCUAAUACUGGAUAUGACUUCUCAUCGCAUGGUGGGGGGUGGAAAGAUUUAUUGGUCUUGGAUGGACUCGCGGCCUAUCAGCUUGUUGGUGAGGUAAUGGCUCACCAAGGCGACGACGGGUAGCCGGCCUGAGAGGGUGACCGGCCACACUGGGACUGAGACACGGCCCAGACUCCUACGGGAGGCAGCAGUGGGGAAUAUUGCGCAAUGGGCGCAAGCCUGAUGCAGCGACGCCGCGUGAGGGAUGACGGCCUUCGGGUUGUAAACCUCUUUCAGUAGGGAAGAAGCGAGAGUGACGGUACCUGCAGAAGAAGCGCCGGCUAACUACGUG
This 466-nucleotide ribosomal RNA is filed under the name uncultured bacterium. RNAcentral describes it as "partial 16S ribosomal RNA". It matches the Rfam family "Bacterial small subunit ribosomal RNA", at positions 28 to 507 of the family's 1533-position model. The record is from RNAcentral.